This 465-nucleotide ribosomal RNA is filed under the name uncultured bacterium. RNAcentral's name for it is "partial 16S ribosomal RNA". It matches the Rfam family "Bacterial small subunit ribosomal RNA", at positions 30 to 507 of the family's 1533-position model. The record is from RNAcentral.
UGAACGCUGGCGGCGUGCUUAACACAUGCACGUCGCCCGGAAAGGCCAGUGCUUGCACUGGUGCUCGAGUGGCGAACGGGUGAGUAACACGUGGGUGAUCUGCCCUGCACUUUGGGAUAAGCCUGGGAAACUGGGUCUAAUACCAGAUAGGACCAUGCUUUGGAUGGUGUGGUGGAAAGUUUUUUCGGUGUGGGAUGAGCUUGCGGCCUAUCAGCUUGUUGGUGGGGUAAUGGCCUACCAAGGCGUCGACGGGUAGCCGGCCUGAGAGGGUGUACGGCCACAUUGGGACUGAGAUACGGCCCAGACUCCUACGGGAGGCAGCAGUGGGGAAUAUUGCACAAUGGGCGCAAGCCUGAUGCAGCGACGCCGCGUGGGGGAUGACGGCCUUCGGGUUGUAAACUCCUUUCGCAACUGACGAAGCUUUUUGUGACGGUAGGUUGAGAAGAAGCACCGGCUAACUACGUG